UACGAAGGGGGCUAGCGUUGCUCGGAAUUACUGGGCGUAAAGGGCGCGUAGGCGGGUCGUCAAGUUGGGGGUGAAAUCCCGGGGCUCAACCCCGGAACUGCCUUCAAAACUCCCAGUCUGGAGGUCGAGAGAGGUGAGUGGAAUUCCGAGUGUAGAGGUGAAAUUCGUAGAUAUUCGGAGGAACACCAGUGGCGAAGGCGGCUCACUGGCUCGAUACUGACGCUGAGGUGCGAAAGCGUGGGGAGCAAACAGG
This 253-nucleotide ribosomal RNA is filed under the name uncultured bacterium. Its description in RNAcentral is "partial 16S ribosomal RNA". It matches the Rfam family "Bacterial small subunit ribosomal RNA", at positions 524 to 776 of the family's 1533-position model. The record is from RNAcentral.